This 433-nucleotide ribosomal RNA is filed under the name uncultured bacterium. RNAcentral's name for it is "partial 16S ribosomal RNA". It matches the Rfam family "Bacterial small subunit ribosomal RNA", at positions 29 to 507 of the family's 1533-position model. The record is from RNAcentral.
AACGAACGCUGGCGGCAUGCCUAACACAUGCAAGUCGAACGACACCUUCGGGUCUAGUGGCGCACGGGUGCGUAACGCGUGGGAACCUGCCCUUAGGUUCGGAAUAACUCCCCGAAAGGGGUGCUAAUACCGGAUAAUGUCUUCGGACCAAAGAUUUAUCGCCGUUGGAUGGGCCCGCGUUGGAUUAGCUAGUUGGUAGGGUAAAAGCCUACCAAGGCGACGAUCCAUAGCUGGUCUGAGAGGAUGAUCAGCCACACUGGGACUGAGACACGGCCCAGACUCCUACGGGAGGCAGCAGUGGGGAAUAUUGGACAAUGGGCGAAAGCCUGAUCCAGCAAUGCCGCGUGAGUGAUGAAGGCCGUAGGGUUGUAAAGCUCUUUUACCCGGGAUGAUAAUGACAGUACCGGGAGAAUAAGCUCCGGCUAACUCCGUG